This 160-nucleotide small RNA is filed under the name Planktothrix serta PCC 8927. RNAcentral describes it as "HEARO". It matches the Rfam family "HNH endonuclease-associated RNA and ORF (HEARO) RNA", at positions 1 to 132 of the family's 211-position model. The record is from RNAcentral. Lineage: Bacteria; Bacillati; Cyanobacteriota; Cyanophyceae; Oscillatoriales; Microcoleaceae.
GUCAGCACCCCGCACUCUCUGUGACGGGGCUAUGGGCGGAGCGCAGGCUUCGCACCUAGUGCCUCACCAGAGCGUGAUAGUUGACCAGCCUAAGUCUUAAUUGACUACGUUUUUUGAGUCAUGACACCCUGUGGAUGCGUAGCUAGUCCCAGGCUCUGUC